AUUCAACAGCCACUGUUCACUUGAUCUGUACCAUAUUUCUUGGAUAACUGUGGUAAUUCUAGAGCUAAUACACGCACCCAUGCUCCAACCGCAAGGGAAGAGCGCAUUUAUUAGAACAAAACCAAUCGGACUUCGGUCCGUUUCGUUUGUGACUCUGAAUAACUUUGCUGAUCGUACGGUCUUUGCACCGACGACGCAUCUUUCAAGUGUCUGCCUUAUCAACUUUCGACGGUAGUUUCUGUGCCUACCGUGGUUGCAACGGGUAACGGAGAAUAAGGGUUCGACUCCGGAGAGGGAGCCUGAGAAACGGCUACCACAUCCAAGGAAGGCAGCAGGCGCGCAAAUUACCCACUCUCAGCGCGAGGAGGUAGUGACGAAAAAUAACGAGUCGGUUCUCUUUGAGGCCCGAUAUCGGAAUGGGUACAAUUUAAACCCUUUAACGAGGACCUAUGAGAGGGCAAGUCUGGUGCCAGCAGCCGCGGUAAUUCCAGCUCUCAAGGUGUAUAUCGCCAUYGCUGCGGUUAAAAAGCUCGUAGUUGGAUCUGCGCCUGUGGACUSGGUCCGCCCAAGUGGUGAGAACUGAGCUCCCGGGCUUAUCUGCCGGUUUUCGCGCGGUGCUCUUCACCGGGUGUCGUGCGUGGCUGGCGAGUUUACUUUGAAGAAAUUAGAGUGCUCAAAACAGGCGUUUCGCCUGCAUAGUUGUGCAUGGAAUAAUGGAACAGGACCUCGGUCCGUUUUGUUGGUUUCGGAACUCGAGAUAAUGGUUAAGAGGGACUGACGGGGGCAUUCGUAUCGCUGCGUGAGAGGUGAAAUUCUUGGACCGUAGCGGGACGCCCGACUGCGAAAGCAUUUGCCAAGAAUGUCUUCAUUAAUCAAGAACGAAAGUCAGAG
RNAcentral lists this ribosomal RNA (891 nucleotides) under Stephanolaimus elegans. RNAcentral describes it as "SSU rRNA". It matches the Rfam family "Eukaryotic small subunit ribosomal RNA", at positions 101 to 1006 of the family's 1831-position model. The record is from RNAcentral. Lineage: Eukaryota; Metazoa; Nematoda; Chromadorea; Plectida; Camacolaimidae.